AGUCGACAAAUUGAGAGAUGAAGCUAGCCUCUAGAUGAGUUGAUAUCAAUGUUGGAACUUCUCGUGUCAAAUAUCCCGGAGCUAGGCCACCCUCCCGUCGUUGUUACAGGGGGCGGCGGCGUUAGAUUUUGGUUAUGGCCGGAGCUCGGCGACGCGUCCUGCCCUCCUCCGGUCAGCGAGUCCGAGCUGAAGGCCGCCGCCGCCGCCUGUUGCUGCUGCUGUUUCCCG
This 228-nucleotide unclassified non-coding RNA is filed under the name Hevea brasiliensis (rubber tree). The record is from RNAcentral. Lineage: Eukaryota; Viridiplantae; Streptophyta; Magnoliopsida; Malpighiales; Euphorbiaceae.